Lingula anatina is the source of this 870-nucleotide long non-coding RNA. The record is from RefSeq and is a predicted model, not a curated record. Lineage: Eukaryota; Metazoa; Brachiopoda; Lingulata; Lingulida; Lingulidae.
CCGUUCUUCGGUGUGUCUACUUCUCAAAAACUAUGCUCCAAAUCUUCAGAAUCUACGUGCACAAUCUCUGAACGACUCCCCGGCCAGACGUACAAUGGAGAGGCCGGCACCGAGCAGACUGUGACGUCAUCUCGUGAGUGCGAGGCUGUAUGCACCUACGCACAGGACUGCAAGGCAGCAACGUAUCUCUCCGCCACGAGAUUGUGCACUACUUUCACUGAUCUCAGCAGACGACAGUUAGUGAACAUUGAUGGGGGAAUAACUUUUGUGAAAUCGUGCACAUAGAGAUCUUUGUAGCUAUGGAGGAUGGUUUGCGUGUCAAACUCGGCUGCGAAACGUGAUCAAAAUUAUUGAAGACAGGAGGUCAAGGCGAAGUGAAUUAAUUUCUCAUAAUCUCUGUGCCUGGAUUAUAGGCAAUGAUAUUUUAUUUCGUUUAAUGGAGUUAAUUUUAUCCGUUCAAAAUGUUAUUUUUCACAACACAAGUUUUCCACUGGUGCUUUUAAUUCGGCCAUUAACAAAAAUUAUGGUAACAUUUGCAUAUAAGCAACAAUGUAUAGAUUAUUUUAGUUAGUAAGUUAGUUAGUAAGUGGUAGUUAGUUUGAAAUGUAUUAUUUAUCAACUGAGAAAAGUUGUUUUGUUCGUACAAAGAUUUGUUUAUUUGCUGUUAUUAUCUACUUUUAUUUGAUUUCGGUUUUAUCAACUGAUUAACUCUUUGAUUUAUCAUUUUUAGUAUUGGGGAAUGCGUUAUUUUGUGUUUUGUGUAAAUUAAUUUAAAAUGUUAAUUACUUUAUGUUAUAAAAACCCAAAGGUUCGUAGGAGAUAGUUGCUACAUCUAGCUAGGCACUGUAUUUACCAGGUCCCCGUUUCACA